This 2413-nucleotide unclassified non-coding RNA is filed under the name Hevea brasiliensis (rubber tree). Lineage: Eukaryota; Viridiplantae; Streptophyta; Magnoliopsida; Malpighiales; Euphorbiaceae. The record is from RNAcentral.
GGGUGGGGGUGAGGGAAUUUGCCAUGUGCGCUUUUUCAUUUAUUUUUGUUGUUCUUCUAGUUUAUUAAUUUUUUUGGUGGUGUUCUUGUUAGGUGACUUUUCGUGUAUAAUCUCAAAAAUGUUACUUUAUGCUUUGUCUCCAAUAUGAAGGAUGUCUGAAUGCAUGAGGCUCCUAUAUUGUGGGCUCCGGGGAGGUUUAGAUGUAGGUAACAUUCCUCUUGCAUUGUAAGGAGGCUCUUUUCAUGCUUUUAACCUGUACCUUUUAGAACAAUAUAGAACCAAAAUUUCUUUUAGGUUACAAGACUAAGCUGGGAGUUGUCUUCUUUAUAUUUUUCUCUUUCUGGCAUAAGAAAAGAAAUUUUAGCUUCUCGAAUUAUUUUAUUGGUUUGGUGAUUGAAAGUGCUAAACAGCAGCAUAGUACCAGCGGUAGCUGCAAUGAUGCAUGACAUGUGAAAUGUCAUGGUCUUAUUUUUUAGUGUCAACAAUAUAAAAAAUAAUAGGAAAUAAAAUGAUUGCAGAUUAUUUUCUAAUCAGUGAUCAGUGUGCAACUGCUUAUGAAAAUAUCCAACGAAUUCUGAUGGGUUUCUUUGUUCCUAUUGCUGUAUUUGUAUUGAAAAUGUCUUGACAAUAAAAUUUCUUGUGAGUUGCUUUAAAAAGAGAGGUGUUUUCUUCUCUCUAAAUGGUUACCUCAUCAUAAUUGACAUGCACACAUUAUUUAAUGGAAGUUAGCAAGACAUUUAUGUGCUAUUCGUGGUUGGUAUAUUAAGCUAGCUAUUUGGACCUAAAACUCAAAUGUAUGCCGAUGCAUGGUAUAUGCUAUAAGCCUAUGACUUGGUUUUAGAGAACCAGGGUGUGGUUUUGACAUUAAUGCAUGCGUUGUUGGAACCUGAAAUGCCCUUACAUAAAAAUUUGUUGAGAAUAAUAAAUAGAUAUAUGUAGGUAAAAUGAGAUGGACUCAUUUUGAGUAUUCUCUCUCUUUUCCAGCUUGACUUUGUGAAUGGGGAAAGUUAGUAAGGUGAAGUGCAAGGCUGAUUCCCAGCGUCGCAGAGUGACUCCAUAUCCUUUGCCAUCUUGCCCAAGGAAAAGUGCCGAAGAUUGCCACUCAAAGAAGAAACAUUCAAAAGCCUUGGAGAAGAGUGAAUGGAAAGGUGCAACCUGUUCUGUUUGUCUGGAAUUUCCUCACAAUGCAGUGCUCCUUCUUUGUUCCUCUUAUAACAAGGGUUGUCACCCAUAUAUGUGUGCCACUGGUCGUCGAUUUUCCAAUUGUCUUGGGCAGUACAAAAAAGCCUAUACUAAAGUAACUUCAACUGAAGAGACGCAACAAUUGAACAGGUCUGCAGACAAUUCAAGUUUCCAUUUGGGAGCUGGGGAGGCUAAUGAGAAGAUGCAAGUUCCAGAGCUUUUAUGCCCGCUCUGUCGGGGUCAGGUGAAGGGUUGGACAGUGGUGGAACCAGCCCGGAAGUAUCUCAAUGCCAAAAAAAGAACCUGCAUGCAAGAUAAGUGCUCAUUUGUUGGAACUUACAAACAGCUCAGGAAGCAUGUUAAGGCCAAGCACCCAUUGGCACGACCCCGAGCUGUGGACCCUGUUCUUGAAGAAAAAUGGAAGAAGCUUGAAUGUGAGAGAGAGCGAAAUGAUGUAAUCAGCACAAUUAUGUCGUCAACUCCAGGGGCUGUGGUGCUGGGGGAUUAUGUGAUUGAGCCAGGCCGACAUGGCUUUUUUAAUGAUUAUGAUUAUGAUUCGGAUGAGUCUCUGGAUGAUCGUUUCUUUCCUUUGGGAUCCUUUAAUCGAGGACAGAGUAGUGGUCAUUAUCGCAAUGGAUUUCACCUAGAUUUUGACUCAUUGGAUGAGGAUGACUAUGGGUUGCGUCGUCCUGGGGCUACUGGUCCUGCAGCACUCUCUGGGCGUGGUCUCCACAGAUUACUGCUGACAAGGGCUAGGAGACCUUGGAGGUUUAGAGGAGGCAAUAGGGGUCAAAAUUACUGAUUAAAAAAAGGUUGGAGGACUUUAAGUUAUUAUAAACUGUUUGUUCUAGAUUUACUUUUCACUGCCAUCAUAUGCCACAGGUGAUGGUUGCCACUGCUGUGUUCCCCUGAUGUGGUAUAAUGUGAUUGGCAACUGGAAAGUGAUUUCAAUAAGUAGUAGGGAUAGCAGUUUAGAGGGUCUUUUUCUAGGUGAUUUAGUCGUGACGAGGGCCAAGGCAUUUUAUUGGUCUGUUUCCUUCUAGUUUUAUGAUUUGACUGUCAUUUGAUCAUCGCAUAUUCAUUUGAAUUGAGAUGAUAUGAUCAGAGACGUUCUUGAUAUGUUUGUUCUGGAGAUGCUCUUUUCUUUAUUCUUAUGGUCGAUAAUUAUGUGGGAAAUUUUAUGUUAUAUACAGUAUGAAGAAAAAUAUUUGGUCAAUAAAGUUAUUAAAAU